UGGUGGCGUGUGGCAUAGCGC
This 21-nucleotide unclassified non-coding RNA is filed under the name Chlamydomonas reinhardtii. Its description in RNAcentral is "small RNA Cre_3481". Lineage: Eukaryota; Viridiplantae; Chlorophyta; Chlorophyceae; Chlamydomonadales; Chlamydomonadaceae. The record is from RNAcentral.